GGGAGAACGCUGGGGGCGUGCUUAACACAUGCGCCCCAAACGGUGACCCCCGCUUGGGGGGGGAUUAGUGGAAAACGGGUGAAUAACACGUGAGACACCUGCCCUUAUCUCUGGGAAAACCCUGGAAAUCGGGGUCAAACCCCGGAUAUGACUCCUCAUCAUGUGGUGGGGGGUGGAAAUCUUUUUGGGGUUUGGGAUGGACUCCCGCUCUAUCAGUGUGUUGGAGAGGCAAUGGCUCCCCAAGGCGACCACGGGUAGCCGGCCUGAGAGGGAGACCGGCCACACUGACACUGAAACACCCCCCACACUCCUACGGGAGGCAGCAGUGGAAUAAUUUUGCACAAUGGGCGCACGCCUGAUGCAGCGACCCCGCGUGAGGGAUGACGGUCUUCGUGUUGUAAACCUCUUUCAGGGGAGAAGAAGCAAAAGCGACGCCUCCUGCAGAAGAACCGGCUGAUUACUACGUGCCAGCCGCCGCGAUAAUACGUAGGCCGCAGGCAUUAUCCAUAAUUAGUGGGCGUAAACACCUCGUAGGCUUUUUGUCUCGGCUGCCAAAAAAAGUCCGGUCCUCUACUCAUGAUCUGCGGUGGGUACGGGAAUACUAGAGUGAUGGGGGGGAAAGACUGUUAUUCCUGGUGUAGCGAAAAAAAUGCGAUAUAUAUCAGGAAGAACACCGAUGAGCGAAGGCAUGUCGGUGGGUUAUUGACUG
This 709-nucleotide ribosomal RNA is filed under the name uncultured bacterium. RNAcentral's name for it is "partial 16S ribosomal RNA". It matches the Rfam family "Bacterial small subunit ribosomal RNA", at positions 26 to 742 of the family's 1533-position model. The record is from RNAcentral.